CAGUAGCCGCGGUAAUACGUAGGGUCCGAGCGUUGUCCGGAAUUACUGGGCGUAAAGAGCUCGUAGGUGGUUUGUCGCGUUGUUCGUGAAAACUCACAGCUCAACUGUGGGCGUGCGGGCGAUACGGGCAGACUAGAGUACUGCAGGGGAGACUGGAAUUCCUGGUGUAGCGGUGGAAUGCGCAGAUAUCAGGAGGAACACCGGUGGCGAAGGCGGGUCUCUGGGCAGUAACUGACGCUGAGGAGCGAAAGCGUGGGGAGCGAACAGGAUUAGAUACCCCCGUAGUCCCUGUCUCUUAUAC
This 301-nucleotide ribosomal RNA is filed under the name uncultured bacterium. RNAcentral's name for it is "partial 16S ribosomal RNA". It matches the Rfam family "Bacterial small subunit ribosomal RNA", at positions 509 to 807 of the family's 1533-position model. The record is from RNAcentral.